Molecule: small nuclear RNA, 314 nt
Filed under: Notechis scutatus (mainland tiger snake)
Lineage: Eukaryota; Metazoa; Chordata; Lepidosauria; Squamata; Elapidae
Description: 7SK RNA (ENSNSUG00000007875.1)
Rfam family: 7SK RNA
About the family: 7SK was discovered as an abundant small nuclear RNA in the mid-70s but a possible function has only recently been suggested.
Source: Rfam by way of RNAcentral
GAAUUUGAGGGCAAUGUGUUAGUGACAACUGUCACAUCAUUGAUUGCUGGGGUUUGUUCAGCUUGACUACCUGGGCAGGUAUCUCUUCCUCCCUCAUUAUUCCAGUGUGUCCCUUCCAAACCUCCAUGCUCAGUGAAAGGGGACCACCAUCCCAGAGAAGAGAAAUAUCUGAUUUUUUUGUUUGUUAAGGGUACACAGUAGCACUAGUCCCCUGCCAGACACUCCAAAGAAGUUCAAGGUCCAUCUUGCCAGUGCAUCUGUAAGAUUUACCUUUGAACACCACCUCGAAACUGCACUAAUCAGAAUGUGAUGGU